CGGGUGAGUAACACGUAUCCAACCUGCCGUCUACUCUUGGACAGCCUUCUGAAAGGAAGAUUAAUACAAGAUGGCAUCAUGAGUUCACAUGUUCACAUGAUUAAAGGUAUUCCGGUAGACGAUGGGGAUGCGUUCCAUUAGAUAGUAGGCGGGGUAACGGCCCACCUAGUCUUCGAUGGAUAGGGGUUCUGAGAGGAAGGUCCUCCACAUUGGAACUGAGACACGGUCCAA
This 231-nucleotide ribosomal RNA is filed under the name uncultured bacterium. RNAcentral's name for it is "partial 16S ribosomal RNA". It matches the Rfam family "Bacterial small subunit ribosomal RNA", at positions 103 to 334 of the family's 1533-position model. The record is from RNAcentral.